Pezoporus occidentalis (night parrot) is the source of this 1580-nucleotide long non-coding RNA. RefSeq lists it as uncharacterized. The record is from RefSeq and is a predicted model, not a curated record. NCBI's taxonomy places the organism in Eukaryota, Metazoa, Chordata, Aves, Psittaciformes, Psittacidae. The transcript has 3 exons.
GCAGUUGUUUCAGUUUCUGUGAUGGAAGACUGAAUUUAAUUCUUUUUUCUAUUCAAACUGCAGCUGGCCACCUCUUCAGAUUACAUGAUACUAAAGUAUGUUAGGUAAAAAUACAAAUACAUGUCAAUUGGAUUUUCAGAAAUCUUUGAUUGAUCAUAGGUCCCUUUACAUAGCCUUAAUAGUAAUAAGUCCAAUUUCACACCAGGCUAAGUUACACAGCCCCUUCACAGAACCUGAGCUUAGCAUGCAACAGCAGUUAAACUUGUCUUGACCCAUGGAAGGCACCAGAAGAACUGAAUACACCAGCCAAUUUUUAUUUCUUUCUAGUCAGCUUGUGAAAAAAGGAUGUGGAUACCAAUGUCACAUGGACCUUCACCUACUACAAUCUGGGAAGGAGGCCAAGAACAACCUUUUCAUUGGCCUUUGAUGGCUGUGCUUUCUAUCAAGCCAAGGAAAAUUGCAAAAGGACACUCAAAAAGUGAAUGUAUUUCUGUGUUUAAAAAAAUUGACACUGAUUAUUUUUGUAAACAAAGUCUCAAAGAAAAUCCCUGAUAAGAUCCAUGACAAGCGAUAUUCACAUAAUUUAUGCAUACAAAAUGUAUCCAGUAUCUAUGUUCUGCACACCUUUAUUGCUAUACCAUAAAAUUUUUUAAGAUACUAUGAAAAACAUAAUAUGGAGCCUUUGCAUUAGUAUUCAGUGUUCAAUUUCUGAAGUUUUUUAUAUUUUCUCUCUCCUGCCGGUUAGUAAAUAUGCUACAUUUCCUCCUAACACUGGAACUUCUUUGGUGAAAGAGAGAGAGCACAUCUUAGCAACUGUGUCAGAAAUUGGCCUGAUUCACCAGCUGGCUCUGAAGAAUCCCUCUGGCAUUCUAGCAUGGUUAAGGUGUAGGAUGUCAGGAUCACACUUAUAGCAUUUAAUAUUUAGAAUGAUUAUUAUUUAUAUACUGCUUCAAAUUAUUGGAAAAAUCUAUUUAGAUAUAACAGAGAACAUAAAGGCUAUCUGUUCCCUUAUGAAUGGGUAGUCAGAGUAGAAGUGAAAUACCUUAGAUCAGUUGACAUUUCUGUUUUGGCAACUGAUUCAUGCCCCAAAAAUGAAAUCUCCCAAAAUAGAGGAAGUAGGAUAGAGCAUGCAAGAUUUGUGCCCAGUCUGCCAUGUCUAAGUCUACACAGCUGCAUAAUACUAACUGCAUAGCUUAUGAGAACAUAACAGUGCUUAAUUAAACCUUAGCUAACACUUUCCACAGUCAAAAACUUUACAAAAUUAAUCUUUAUUAUCUGUAAGUUAUUGGCAUAUCAUAAUUUUACGAAUUGAAAUACAAUUAGUUGAUUUUCUUGACACAAAUGACUACAGAGUUGUAAGACAUCAGGAUAGAAAAUUGACUGCGGUGGUUUAUACUCAAAGCCAGAGACGCUUAAUACAGCCUGUAGUGCUUAUGUUCCACUAGACCUCUCCCUAUCUUCUUACUCCCCAAAAGGCUUUUAGUACAUAUGGCAACAGCUUCCCAUGUUGUUUAUAAAUGGCAAAAUGAACAUGACUUGACCAUGCAACUUAAAUUCAAUCAAGAAGGCCCAUCAUUUUG